UUAUUUUUUCCCAAGUGGAUUUGGCAUAACUGGUAGUUUUGCCCUCUUUCCUAAAUUGUGGAAUUUAAGUUUUUAUCAUUAAGUUGAUUGUUAAAUUGUAAUUUGUGAACUUUAUCAUUUCUUCUUCCAAAAUUUUCUUUGUUAACAUCUAGGCGAUGACACAGGAUGUUCAGUUCAAAUAUCAGUUCAGUUUUUAAUUUGUAGUUCCUAAUGCGCCAUUAUGAAGUAACAAGAAGAUUUCAGAAAAAUUAUUGAGUAACAACCAUUUGGGUGCUUUUUGAAUGGCUAAGUUCUCUCUCUCUCACUCUCUCUCUCUUAUGUACUCAGCCACCGAAAUUGAAGUUGGGUUGAUGUUUAUCAGUUUGAUACAGAGGAAUUAACGAUGUUGACAUGCCCAAUAGCCACUGCACCCACUUCGUCUUUCCUCUUUGCCGGCUGUUAGGUGAUGGAAUAUAGAAGUGGGUGACAUGGAUUGCACAACUGGGAGACAACGCGUAUCUAACGUAAAAAGCUUUUUCUUUUUACUGUCAUUCCUUCUUUAAAUACUAUAAAUGCAUACACAUAUGUAUGCGUAUAUUGUAAUGGAUAGAAUGAAUUUAUUUAAAAUGAAUAGAUCAAAUGGUUCCAUUUGAAAGAUAUUUGUUUAUGAGAUUGUAAUUCCCUUUGAAAGAUCAAUUGGAUUUGCAAAUGGAUCUUUUGAUCUUUUUCAA
Molecule: non-coding RNA, 710 nt
Organism: Camellia sinensis
Lineage: Eukaryota; Viridiplantae; Streptophyta; Magnoliopsida; Ericales; Theaceae
Source: RefSeq, a predicted model, not a curated record